GCCCCGGUAGCUCAGUCGGUAGAGCGUCGCUCUGGUAAGGCGAAGGUCCCGGGUUCAAAUCCCGGCCGGGGCUCCA
This 76-nucleotide transfer RNA is filed under the name Thermofilum pendens. Its description in RNAcentral is "tRNA-Thr". It matches the Rfam family "tRNA". From Rfam's summary of the family: Transfer RNA (tRNA) molecules are approximately 80 nucleotides in length. Their secondary structure includes four short double-helical elements and three loops (D, anti-codon, and T loops). Lineage: Archaea; Thermoproteati; Thermoproteota; Thermoprotei; Thermofilales; Thermofilaceae. The record is from RNAcentral.